Molecule: ribosomal RNA, 254 nt
Filed under: uncultured bacterium
Lineage: Bacteria
Description: partial 16S ribosomal RNA
Rfam family: Bacterial small subunit ribosomal RNA
Source: RNAcentral
UACAGAGGGUGCGAGCGUUGUCCGGAAUCACUGGGCGUAAAGGGCGCGUAGGUGGCGCGACAAGUCAGUGGUGAAAGUUCGACGCUCAACGUCGAAUCGGCCACUGAUACUGUUGGGCUUGAGCACUGUAGAGGCUAAUGGAAUUCCGGGUGUAGCGGUGGAAGUGCGCAGAUAUCAGGAGGAACACCAAUAGCGAAGGCAGCUCGCUGGGACGUUACUGACACUAAGGCGCGAAAGCGUGGGGAGCGAACAGG